Molecule: ribosomal RNA, 253 nt
Filed under: uncultured bacterium
Lineage: Bacteria
Description: partial 16S ribosomal RNA
Rfam family: Bacterial small subunit ribosomal RNA
Source: RNAcentral
UACAGAGGUCUCAAGCGUUGUUCGGAUUCAUUGGGCGUAACGGGUGCGUAGGUGGUGGGGUAAGUCGGAUGUGAAAUCCCGGGGCUCAACCCCGGAACUGCAUUCGAUACUGCCUUGCUCGAGUACUGGAGAGGAGACUGGAAUUUACGGUGUAGCAGUGAAAUGCGUAGAUAUCGUAAGGAAGACCAGUGGCGAAGGCGAGUCUCUGGACAGUUACUGACACUGAGGCACGAAGGCCAGGGGAGCAAACGGG